This 1901-nucleotide ribosomal RNA is filed under the name human gut metagenome. Its description in RNAcentral is "bacterial LSU rRNA". The stretch from base 555 to 1901 matches the Rfam family "Bacterial large subunit ribosomal RNA", at positions 1 to 1973 of the family's 2925-position model. The record is from RNAcentral.
AAUGAGACGAUCAAAAAGCAGAUCCUCGCCAUCCGGGAUACCGGCCUGACGAAUAUGUUUGAUACAAACAUGGUGCAGCGGCUGGCCUACGAGCGAGACUUCUAUGAGCUGGUGAUUUUCAUCGAGGAGCACCGCAAGGAAUAUGUGCAUUUCAUCCUCUACGGAGAGGCAUAAAGCACACAAUUCCGAGCCCGAAUAUUUGUGUAGAAUACUUCAGUUUAUAUCGCAGAAAUGACUUGCUAUUUCAGGCGUUUAGAGUGAUAUAUACACUACCGAAAGGAAAUACACAUAAACGGAGGAAACCACGAUGCGUUACAUCGACCACACCAACUGCAAGACAGCCUUUGAAAAGGGCGAAGACCACGAGAUCCAGAGCCUUGGGAAACUCACCCGCACGGCCACCAAGAUUGCCGAAGCAAACGGUCUUGGAGUUCUGAAGAACCGUCAGGGCUACUACAGGAUCAUCAAGAAGAGCGGCCUCGGAGCCUACGAAGACGUCCUUUCAACCCUCGCAGAGGUUGACGCCUUCUUCAAGAACCUCGACAGCCACAAGGCCACGAAGUAUUAAGGAGAGACCGACAAUGACGAUCAACAAUGCGAUGAGAAAGUUCCGGCUGCCAAACCCAACCACCCCGGAGGACCUCGAAACCAGAUGAGCUAUCCAUGGCCAGGUUGAAGGUGUGGUAACACACACUGGAGGACCGAACCGACUAGUGUUGCAAAAUUAGCGGAUGAGCUGUGGAUAGGGGUGAAAGGCUUAACAAAUCUGGAGAUAGCUGGUUCUCCCCGAAAACUAUUGAGGUAGUGCCUCGUGUAUUGCUCCAGGGGGUAGAGCACUGUUAUGGCUAGGGGGACAUGGCGUCUUACCAAACCAUGGCAAACUCCGAAUACUUGGAAGUAAGAGCACGGGAGACAGAGCACCGGGUGCUAACGUCCGGACUCAAGAGGGAAACAACCCAGACCGCCGUUUAAGGUCCCAAAUAUUGACUAAGUGGAAAACGAAGUGUGAAGGCUAAGACAGUCAGGAAGUUGGCUUAGAAGCAGCCAUCCUUCAAAGAAAGCGUAAUAGCUCACUGAUCGAGUCCUCAUGCGCGGAAGAUGUAACGGGGCUAAGUCAAUAACCGAAAGCGCGGAUUUGCAUGAAAAUGCAAGUGGUAGGGGAGCGUUCUGUAAGCCUGCGAAGGUGGUUCGAGAGGACUGCUGGAGGUAUCAGAAGUGCGAAUGCUGACAUGAGUAACGUUAAAGCGGGUGAAAAGCCCGCUCGCCGUAAGCCCAAGGUUUCCUGCUCUACGUUCAUCGGAGCAGGGUGAGUCGGCCCCUAAGGCCAGGCUGAGAAGCGUAGUCGAUGGGAAGCAGAUUAAUAUUUCUGCACCAUGUGCAAGUGCGAUGGGGGGACGGAGUGCGAAAGAUCAUCCGGGUGUUGGAUGUCCCGGUUUGUGAGUGUAGAAGGCCGACAGGCAAAUCCGUCGGCGGAUCUUCGAGACAAAGCAUCGAGGUUCUACGGAACCGAAGUGAUCGGAAGUGCUUCCAGGAAAAGCCUCUAAGCUCCAGCUUGCAUAUGACCGUACCGUAAACCGACACUGGUGGGCGAGUUGAAUAUACUCAGGCGCUUGAGAGAACUCGGGAGAAGGAACUCGGCAAAUUGACACCGUAACUUCGGGAUAAGGUGUGCCUUUGUAGCGUGAAGAGAGAAACACUCGGAGCGUGAAGAGGCCUCAGAGAAUCGGUGGCUGCAACUGUUUACUAAAAACACAGCACUCUGCAAAGAUGAAAGUCGACGUAUAGGGUGUGAUGCCUGCCCGGUGCUGGAAGAUUAAUUGAUGGGGUGCAAGCUCCUGAUCGAAGUCCCAGUAAACGGCGGCCGUAACUAUAACGGUCCUAAGGUAGCGAAAUUCCUUGUC